CUCGAUAUUAUUUGGCUGCGGUGAUCGCCGUCGUGGCGGCGGCGAGAGUCGGCGCGGCGCUGGGCGAGAGUCGGCGCGGAGCUGGGCGCCGCCGUAAUGGGUGAUGCCCGAUACUGAUACACGUGGACCGCGCCAGACAGAAAGAGAGGAAAGAUUUUUACGUAACCACCAUUGGGCGAACAUUAGAAUAUACCUGUAGUCAGCACUGAA
Long non-coding RNA from Amphibalanus amphitrite, 210 nucleotides. RefSeq lists it as uncharacterized. The transcript is spliced from 2 exons. NCBI's taxonomy places the organism in Eukaryota, Metazoa, Arthropoda, Thecostraca, Balanomorpha, Balanidae. The record is from RefSeq and is a predicted model, not a curated record.